Molecule: small nuclear RNA, 338 nt
Filed under: Chinchilla lanigera (long-tailed chinchilla)
Lineage: Eukaryota; Metazoa; Chordata; Mammalia; Rodentia; Chinchillidae
Description: 7SK RNA (ENSCLAG00000021835.1)
Rfam family: 7SK RNA
About the family: 7SK was discovered as an abundant small nuclear RNA in the mid-70s but a possible function has only recently been suggested.
Source: RNAcentral
GGAUGUGAGGGUGAUUUGGCUGUGACAUCUCUCACACCGUUAAUCACCAGGGUUCAUUCAGCUGCCCUCUCUGGCUAUGUGGGUGUUCCUUUUCUCCCUUACCAUUCCAUGAAUGUCCCUUAUGAAGCUGUGCGCCCUAUCAAAGAAGACAAUCAUGUCCAAUAAAGGAGGAUCAUUUCCUUAGUCCAGGGUGUAUGAGUAGCCACACUCUCCUACUAGAACCUCCAAAUAAGUCCUCAAAUUAGGUUAAUGUAUCCCUGAAAGUGAACUCAUUAUUCCUUGCUGCAUAGUAGAGGCAGACCAAGACGCUGUUCUUGAAGCGUUAGGAUACAUAAGCU